UCAAACUUGGUCAUUUAGAGGAAGUAAAAGUCGUAACAAGGUCUCCGUUGGUGAACCAGCGGAGGGAUCAUUAAAGAGUUGCAAAACUCCCUUAAAACCAUUGUGAACGUUACGGUUAUUGUUGCUUCGGCGAGUGGUCCGCCCUAGCGCUCCCCUCACGGGGGGCGGCUCGCCGAGCGAAACUAAACUAUUUUGUAUUAUUGGCCUCUCUGAGAAACUUUUUUAAUAAGUUAAAACUUUCAACAACGGAUCUCUUGGUUCUGGCAUCGAUGAAGAACGCAGC
This 283-nucleotide unclassified non-coding RNA is filed under the name uncultured fungus. RNAcentral's name for it is "partial contains small subunit ribosomal RNA, internal transcribed spacer 1, and 5.8S ribosomal RNA". The stretch from base 1 to 73 matches the Rfam family "Eukaryotic small subunit ribosomal RNA", at positions 1759 to 1831 of the family's 1831-position model. Lineage: Eukaryota; Fungi. The record is from RNAcentral.